CCUACGGGAGGCAGCAGUGAGGAAUAUUGGUCAAUGGGCGGGAGCCUGAACCAGCCAAGUCGCGUGAGGGAAGACGGUCCUAUGGAUUGUAAACCUCUUUAGGCGGGGAGCAAUGCCGGGCACGCGUGCCCGGAGGGAGAGUCCCCGCAGAAUAAGCAUCGGCUAACUCCGUGCCAGCAGCCGCGGUAAUACGGGGGAUGCGAGCGUUAUCCGGAUUUAUUGGGUUAAAAGGGUGCGUAGGCGGAUUUUUAAGUCAGCGGUAAAAUGUCCGGGCUCAACCCGGGCCGGCCGUUGAACCUGGGGAGCUUGAGUGGGCGAGAGGUAUGCGGAAUGCGUGGUGUAGCGGUGAAAUGCAUAGAUAUCGCGCAGAACUCCGAUUGCGAAGGCAGCAUACCGGCGCCCGACUGACGCUGAGGCACGAAAGCGUGGGGAUCGAACAGGAUUAGAUACCCCUGUAGUC
Molecule: ribosomal RNA, 460 nt
Filed under: uncultured bacterium
Lineage: Bacteria
Description: partial 16S ribosomal RNA
Rfam family: Bacterial small subunit ribosomal RNA
Source: RNAcentral